GUUGACGAGAAAUCUGCAAGAAAGACCGAAAUACCCUUUGAGUGAUGAAUGAGUGAUGAAUGGGUAUCCUAUGAGUUAGGAAUGAGAGGUGUGUGGCAGAAAUCAAGUCAGAAGAUUUUGGAAGUCAGUUGUGGAACACGAGAUGAAUGUGAUCCUUAGUUUGAAGGGGAGAAUGUGAUAUAACAAACUAAGUCCCACAUUGGAGAAUUAGACAAGGAGUGUCUAAUAUAUAAAGAGAUGUCCAACUCUAAUAGUACGAGGCCUUUUGGGAUGGAAACCAAAAGUAAAUCCAUGCGGGCUUGCCAAUUAGGCCCAAAGUGGACAAUAUCGUACUAAUCGGAUAAUAUAGAGUUGGACACGGGAUUUUACAAUCCCAACAAUUGGUAUCAGAGCCGGUUGACGAGAAAUCUGCAAGCACUACAAGAAAACAUCGGGAUACUGAGGGAAAAAAUCGUCGGUAUGUCGUCGGAAUAACGCUAUUCCGAGGACAUACCGACGAAAAAAGUCCUCGGAAAUAACUCCUCGGAAAUUCAUAAUUCCUCGGAAUUCCGUCGGAAUUUUCCGACGGAAUUCCGAGGAAACAAAAUUCCGAGGAUACUCCGAGGACACGAAGUUCGUCGGAAGGUUCCUCGGAAAAUACCGAGGGAAUUUCGAUGGCCCAAUCCUCGGAAGUUUCGACGAAAUAUUCCUCGGAAUGUUUAUCGGAAAAUACCGAGGAACAUUCCGAGGAACUUUUUCCCUCAGAAAAUUCCGAGGAACUUAAAGUUCGUCGGAAUUUGCCGAGGGGAGAAAGUUCCUCGGAAUUUUCCGAGGAACUCCAUUCCCUCGGAAUUUUGAAAAAAUUUAUUUUUUUUAAAAAUUUAUUUUUUUUUUAAAUUAAUUUUAUUUUUAAAAAUUAAAAUUUUUAAAAUUUAAAAUUAAAAUUGAAUAAAACAUAAAAUAAAACAUAGUAGAUAAUAUUCAAAUUUAAAUAAAACAUUCAGAGUUUUUGGAAAAAAAAAAACUACGGGUCUUGAAUGUUCGGGAACGUCUCGUUCGGGUACAUCCUCUUCAUCAUCUCCAUCAUCUGCUCGUUCAGCCUCUUCUGGGUCUCAUAGCCCGCCUGUUGAGCUGCCAUCUGAGUCUCCAACGCAGAUAUCCGAUCAUCCUUGUCCUUCAGCUGAGCCGUAAGAACUUCUGGAUCAACAUACGCAUGUGGUGCAGAAGAAGGAGCAGCCGACCGGGAGCGACGACCCAAACCGACCAAACGUCCCUUUUUCUUUGGAACCGACUGAAAUAUAAAUAACCAAGUUUAGAUAAUUUAAAUUGAUGAUAAAAUAAAAAUCAAGAAAUAAUUAAAUUGAACUUUUAAAAAAAAAAAACUUACCGAUUCAACGAUUUCGUUGAUUCGAACCCGAGACAAGUUGGUCGAGGCCGUCGAAUCGUCAUCAUCGGUUUGAAGCUGAGACACUUCGUCAUACACCUGAGUUUGGACCAGGUCGACCACGUCCCUCACAAGACCAUCAUCAAUCUGGCCGGUCUUCUUGUUGGUAUACGCCCUUUUCAUAAGGGCGAGAUCAUCAACUGGGUGGCCUUCAUUUUCUUCCGCCUUGAAAAAAAAUAAAUUAGACAAACAUUAGAAAUUUGAAAAUGCAAAAAAAUAAAAUUCUGAAACUUAAAUAAUUGAAGAAAAAGCGGUUGAGCUUACCAUGCGAUCCGCCAGAGUGGCAAUAGAUUGAGCACCCAAGUUAUGCUUGUAGAUGCCCUUUCCUUUACGGUCGCUCCUGCGGUUGUUGGAGUUGGUGGAAGAAGUUUCUUUCGUCUCUUCUUUAUCCCAAUGCGCACACAACUCCUUCCAGACCGUGUCGUUCAUCGACUUUGGGACCUUUUAAUUUAAAAAAAAAAAGUUUAAUAAUUUUAAAAAUAGUGUAAUAAAUUAAAAAUUGUUAAUAAAUUAAAAACUACCUUGUUUACUUCCCACUUCUUCUUCCACUCGUACAUCUGCUUCCCAUAGUUGUCCAUAACUUUAUGGACAAAAUGGUGAUAGAUAGAGAGCGUAUCAUCGGCAUUCCAGUUGAAUUCUUGCUGAAAUAGUUUAAAAAUAGUUUUUAAACACAAAAAUAUAAUAGUUUAAUAAUUACAAAAAUCGUCGUUUUAAUAAAUAAAAAAUAGUUUAAUAAUUAAAAAAAUAAUUUAAUAAUUACCAAAAUAAGUUUUAAUAAUAUUUAAAAUGUCUAAUAAAUAUAGAAAUUAGUUUAAUAAUUACAAAAAUAAGUUUUAAUAAUAUUUAAAAUGUCUAAUAAAUAUAGAAAAUAGUUUAAUAAUUACAAAAAAUAGUUUUAAUAAUAUAAAAAUAUAAUUUAAAAAUUAGAAUACUUACCGCAAACUGCUGAAACCACAGAUGCUGCUUCUCGACAGGGAAGUGAGUGAAAGUCGGAUGUCCGCUGUCGAGGGCCGAGUACAUCAUACGGUUGAUCCAUGCGCUGAUCCCAUUCCCGGAUCGGUUGAACCUAAUAAAAAAAAAUUAUUAAUAAAAAAAUAGUUUAAAUAAAAAAUAGUUUAAAAAAUAAAAGUUUAAAUUACCAUGUUUGACCAUGUCCAUGUGGAUACUCAGUGAGAUAGGGAAGAUGGUCACGACCGGGCUGUCGAACCAACUCCGCAACCCUCAUCACUCCCAGAGGACCGGGUGCAGCAGCGGGACCAGGAGCGGGUGCAGCAGCGGGAGCGGGAGCAGCAUGAGCGAGUAAUGGAGAGGGAGAUGUAUGGUAUGAGCUGUGGGGCGAAACGGAAUCCUGAACAUGGCUGGAAGAACCCCGAGACUGGCUCCCCAUACCACCCCGGCUACGACGCUGGCGAGACCGGAUCUGAUCAUCAUUAGACCUGUAAAUUAAAAAAAAACAUAUUUAAAAAUUAGUUCUAAUAAUUUUAAUUAAAAAAAACAGUUUAAAUAAAAAAAGUUUUAAUAAAUAAAAAAUAGUUUAAAAAUUUUAAAAAUAGUUUAAAUAAAUCCCAAAAACAUAAUAAUUACGAAAAAUAGUUUUAAAAAUGUUUAAAAUGUUAAAUAAUUACAAAAAUAGUUUUCAUAAUAUUAAAAAUGUUUACUAAAUAUAGAAAUUUAUAUUUUACAUAUAAAAUACAAAAAAAAUGUUUUUAAAUAUUAUAUAAAUGAUUUUUAAUCUUAAAAAAAGUUUUAUAGAUUUUAAAAAUGUUUAAUAAAUAUAUAAAUGAAUUUAAAAUGCAAAAAAUAGAUUUUAUAUACAAAAAACGUUUUCAAUAUAUAUAUAUAAUUUCAAAUUCGAUUUUUAUAACCACAAAAUUAAUAAAAACUCUAAAAAAAAAAAUUCAAAUCAAGUGAAAUACAUAAUCAAACUCGAUUUUACACAAAUCUACCAUUCACCCUAACAAAAUCUAUAAAUCUCAUUCCAAAAUCAUCAAAUCUACUUAAAAACCAUACAAAUCUAACCUAAAAGAGUGGGAUAGGGUUCUUACAUGAUUAUGGGGGAGGAUUAGGGGAGAUUCGCCGGAAAAACGCGAGAGAGAACGGUGGAGUCGCCGGAAAUCGCGAGAGGAGAGGCUCAGCGGCGCGGAGAGAAAGAGAGAAAUGGGGAAGAAGAUCGGGCUCGCCCUAAUAUUAUGAGGCGUCCGACGGAAACUAUCCGUCGGAAUUUCCUCGGAAAUAUUUAAUAUUUCCGUCGGAAUUUCCUCGAAAUUCUUUGAUUCAAUUUUCCCGAAAUAUUUGGCGGCUUGGUUUACCCGGUUAAAUGAAAAUAUUCCGACGAACAAUGAUUCCUCGGAAUACCCUCGGUAAUCUCCGAGGAAUUUCUGAGGAACCAGGGUUUGGGGUUUUUAAACAUCGAUUAUUUUCGCCGUAUUUCAUUUCUUAUACAAUUAUAAUGCAUACCAUUGAGGAUUCUUUGUAUAGAUGAUCAUAAACCAUGAAAUAACACAAUUUCAAAAAUAAUUGUAAGUAUUCCCUUUACCAUUUAUUAAAGUGUAUAAGUGUUUCUCUUAUGUUGUGUGGUUUUCGUUCAUGCAAUCGUAAAAGUGUUUGUUAUUGGAUAAAACACCAAAGUUCAUAGUUCCAAACAUCAUAAUCUGGUUAUGACACUUAAUGAAGGUUAUAUACGUGUUAUUCAAUCCGUAAAACGUUGUUUUCGAUUUAAAACCCCCAGUUCCUCGGAAUUUCCUCGGAAUAUACCGAGGAGAUUCCGAGGAAAUCCUUAUGUUCGUCAGCAUUUCCUCGGAAUAUACCGAGGAGAUUCCGAGGAAAAAGAAUCUAUAAUCAAAUCCCCAUCUCCUCGGAAUUUCCUCGGAAUUUCCCGAGGAAAUGCCGACGAACAUAAAGAGUUCCUCGGAAUUUCCUCGGAAUUUUCCGAGGGAAUUCCGAGGAACUUGGGGUUUUCAAUCGAGAAGAUCUAUUCCGAGGAAAACCUAUCUGUCCUCGGAAUUUCCUCGGAAUUUUCCUUAAAAAAAAAAAAAAAAAAAAAAAAAAAGGUCGACGCUAGUCUGUUUCCGAGUCGUCAUCACCAGAUGAAUCUGAAUCUGGAUCUUGGUGAAACUCUCCAAUCACUGGUUCAUCAUCUACGUGAACGGCGGCUUCUUCUCCGAAGUCAGUUAAAUCGACUACAAGGCCAACUCCACCUAAAUCUUCUGCUGCACCUAGGUCUUCUGUUUUUGGUCUGAACUUCUGCUGGAAAGUAGUACUCGGCAAAGUUUGAAGUUUCUUCAUUGAUCAUCUGUGCGACUAUAGACCCUUCCACCCUACUUAAAUUUUUCACCAUCUUCUUCAAAUGGAACAUAUACCGCUCAUACAGAUACAUCCAUCUAUACUGCACAGGACCACCAAGUUCCAAUUCUCUUACCAGGUGAAUAACAAGAUGCUCCAUAACAUCAAAAAAUGAGGGAGGAAAUAUCUUCUCAAGGUUGCACUGAAUCACAGCUAUGUUAGUCUUCAAAUUUUCAAUACCUUCAAGAGUCACUGAUCUUGUGCAUAAAUCGCGGAAGAAACCACUUAUCCCUGCAAUUGCUUCAUGAACAUUUCGUGGUAAUAGUUCCUUGAAGGCAAACGGAAGGAGACGCUGCAUCAUUACAUGGCAAUCAUGGCUUUUCAAGCCAGUAAACUUUCCUUCCUUUCUGUCGAUACAGUUACGCAAAUUAGAUGCGUAACCGUCUGGAAAUUCCACAUCGUUUGAAAUCCAAUCAAAGAACGCAUCCUUUCCCGCUGCAUCAAGUCGGUAUAUGGGAAAAGGAGCCCUACCACUCUCAUCAACAUGAAGUUCUGAACGAGCACAUAUAUCGACUAAAUCCAGUCUUGACUUCAAAUUAUCCUUUGUUUUACCUUGAACAUUAAGGAUCGUGUUCAUGAGAUUGUCAAAAAAGUUCUUCUCGAUAUGCAUGACAUCUAAAUUAUGCCUUAGUAGAUGAUCCUCCCAGUAUGGCAGAUCCCAAAAAAUACUUUUUUUGUGCCAGUUAUGUAGGUUUCCAACACCAUCUACCGGAAAAUGCUCAUGUCCACCGACGUCUGGCGUCCUUUCUGCACCAAAAUCUCUAAGUUGUGUCUUCAAAUCUUUCCCACGAAUUUCCGGAGGUGGACUGUCAAACACCCUCUUGUUCUUCGUAAACAAAUUCCUACUUCUACGAUAUGGAUGAUCUGGUGGUAGAAAUCUCCUGUGACAGUCAAACCAACACGUUUUCCUUCCGUGUUUUAGUUGGAAAGCAUCAGUGUUAUCUUGACAAUAUGGACAUGAUAGCCUUCCAUGCGUUGUCCAUCCAGAUAACAUACCAUAUGCUGGAAAAUCACUUAUUGUCCACAUUAGUACUGCCCGCAUUUGAAAGUUUUCUUUAUACGAAACAUCGUAUGUUUCAGCACCUUGAGUCCAUAGUUGUUGCAACUCAUAUAUUAGUGGCUGAAGAAACACAUCAAGUGAUCUCUUAGGAUGCUCUGGUCCGGGAACGAGAAUCGAGAGAAACAAAAACUCUCGUCGCAAGCACAAGUUUGGGGGUAGGUUGUAUGGUGUAAGAAUGACUGGCCAUAGAGAAUACUGUCUUCCACUCUUGCCAAACGGGCUGAAACCAUCAGUACAUAAUCCAAGGUAGACAUUUCUUCUCUCAUACGCAAAGUCGGGAUACUUUGAUUGGAAAUGCUUCCACGCUUUUGCAUCUGAAGGAUGUCUGAUCUCACCAUCUGUUGAGUGCUCCGCAUGCCAUCUCAUUGGUUGCGCUGUGCGUUCAGACAGAUACAGCCUCUGCAACCUUUCCGUCAAAGGCAAAUACCACAUCCUUUUAUAUGGUACUGGAACUCUUCCACUCGUAUCUUUAUAACGAGGCUUCCCACAAAAUUUGCAUGAAACCCGCUGUUCAUCCGCCCUCCAAUAAAUCAUGCAGUUGUCUCUGCAUACAUCUAUUACCUGAUACGAUAAACCAAGACCAGCUACGAGUUUCUGAACCUCGUAGUAUGAGCCAGGAGCUACAUUAUCUUCGGGUAGAAUACCUUUUACAUAAUCAGCAAUCGCAUCCACACAGUCUUCAGCCAAAUUAUAAUCCGUCUUAAUGCCCAUCAAUCUUGUAGCAGAUGAUAAAGCUGAAUGACCAUCUCUGCAACCUUCGUACAAUGGUUGCUUUCCAGCAUCCAACAUAUCAUAAAAUCUCUUAGCUUCGGCAUUGGGUAAAUCUUCCCCUCUAAAAUGAUCAUUUACCAUCUGCUCAGUACCUACACCGUAAUCUACAUCCGUUCUAAUUGGAUCUUCUAAUCUAACCGCUGGCUGAGGUUCGCUAGUACUACCAAGUUCAUAAUCAGUUUCUCCAUGAUGAUACCAAAUUUUGUAACUUCGUGUAAACCCACUCAAAUAUAAAUGAGUCCAAACAUCCCAUUCUUUAAUAACUUUUUUUAUUUUUACAAUUAGAGCAAGGACAUCUUAACAUACCUGUUUUUGCUUCCGGUUGUCGGUGAACUAACCCCAUGAAUUCGGUUAUACCUUGUUGGUAUUCUUCCGUAAGCAAUCUCGUGUUCGGAUCCAAAUGAGGUCGAUCGAUCCAAGAACGAAAAUAAUUUGAAGAAGACAUGUUUUUUAUGAAUCAAAUUCGUGUGUAAAGAAAGUGAGAGGGAGGAUGAAGAUAUGGUGUGAAUGAAGAGGAAGAGGGGUGCUUGUAUUUAUAGUUGAAAUCCUGCCGACGGUCCGAGGAAAUUCCGACGGAAUUCCGAUGCAAACGGCUAGUUCGUCGGAAUUUCCUCGGAAUUUUUAAAAUCCCCCCAACGGCUCUCCAACGGCUCUCUAACGUCUAUAAUAUUUCCUCGGAAUUCAUCGGUUUUUUCCGAGGAAUACUAGUUUCCUCGGUAUUCCGUCGGAAUAUUCCGACGAAAUGAAUUUUCCUCGGAAUUCCGUCGGAAUAUUCCGACGGAAUUCCGAGGAAGCAAAAUUUUGUGUUUCCUCGGAAUUGCCUCGGAAAUGCCUCGGUAUAUUCCGAGGAAUUCAUUUUCCGUCGGAACGUCCGUCAGAAUACCGCUGUUUUCUUGUAGUGAAGAAAGACCGAAAUACCCUUUGAGUGAUGAAUGAGUGAUGAAUGGGUAUCCUAUGAGUUAGGAAUGAGAGGUGUGUGGCAGAAAUCAAGUCAGAAGAUUCUGGAAGUCAGUUGUGGAACACGAGAUGAAUGUGAUCCUUAGUUUGAAGGGGAGAAUGUGAUAUAACAAACUAAGUCCCACAUUGGAGAAUUAGACAAGGAGUGUCUAAUAUAUAAAGAGAUGUCCAACUCUAAUAGUACGAGGCCUUUUGGGAUGGAAACCAA
This 7761-nucleotide long non-coding RNA is filed under the name Brassica rapa (field mustard). Its description in RNAcentral is "long non-coding RNA (BRAP_LNC000497)". Lineage: Eukaryota; Viridiplantae; Streptophyta; Magnoliopsida; Brassicales; Brassicaceae. The record is from RNAcentral.